Molecule: unclassified non-coding RNA, 279 nt
Filed under: Hevea brasiliensis (rubber tree)
Lineage: Eukaryota; Viridiplantae; Streptophyta; Magnoliopsida; Malpighiales; Euphorbiaceae
Source: RNAcentral
ACCACACACUGACGCUUAAGAUUUUGAUACCCACCACAGAAACCCACAAUCUCUAGGAAACUCACAAGCCACCAAAGGCAAGUUAUUCAAAUCUAAACUGAAAACCCCUCAUCGAUGGAAGCAUGGAACUAGCAAACUCCAGAACUCAUAUCUACAAACACCACCCAAAAGGGGAAGGAGACAAACCCAUUAUUGAGCGGAGGAAGAUGAAGCCCUCCUGCCUUUGAGAGACAGAGGAGGCUGCUAAAGUGCCAGAAAGAAGAGACGAAAAAACCCUAG